RNAcentral lists this ribosomal RNA (896 nucleotides) under Pseudomonas sp. Its description in RNAcentral is "partial 23S ribosomal RNA". It matches the Rfam family "Bacterial large subunit ribosomal RNA", at positions 1 to 829 of the family's 2925-position model. Lineage: Bacteria; Pseudomonadati; Pseudomonadota; Gammaproteobacteria; Pseudomonadales; Pseudomonadaceae. The record is from RNAcentral.
UGGCAAGCAUUGAAGGGCACAUGGUGGAUGCCUUGGCAUCAAGAGCCGAUGAAGGACGUUGGAGCCUGCGAUAAGCCCUGGGGAGUUGGCAACCGAGCUGUGAUCCGGGGGUGUCCGAAUGGGGAAACCUGGCUGGAGUCAUGUCCAGUCAUCUCCGUCUGAAUAAAAUAGGGCGGUAGAGGGGAACGCGGGGAAGUGAAACAUCUCAGUACCCGUAGGAAGAGAAAACAAUAGUGAUUCCGAGAGUAGUGGCGAGCGAAAUCGGAUGAGGCCAAACCAUGAUCGUGUGAUACCCGGCAGGGGUUGCGGUUGUGGGGUUGUGGGAGUGUUUGUCAUGCGUCUGCCGGCGUGUGGGGCAGUAAGAAAGUGUGGUUGAAGUUGAAGUCCGUUGGAAAGCGGCGCCGUAGAGGGUGAUAGCCCCGUAGUCGUAGGAUCAUGCCUGUCUAUAGCACAUCCCAAGUAACACGCCACCCCUGAAAUGGUGUGUGAAUCUGGCGGGACCACCCGUUAAGCCUAAAUACUUCUUGAUGACCGAUAGCGGACUAGUACCGUGAGGGAAAGGUGAAAAGUACCCCUGGCGGGGAGUGAAAUAGUACCUGAAACCGUGUGCCUACAAUCCGUCAGAGCCCAGCCAUCUCACAGCCAUGUGAGGCGUGGGGGUGAUGGCGUGCCUUUUGAAGAAUGAGCCUGCGAGUUUGCGGUGUGUUGCGAGGUUAACCCGUGUGGGGUAGCCGUAGCGAAAGCGAGUCCUAAUAGGGCGAUUCAGUAGCGCGCUCAAGACCCGAAGCGGAGUGAUCUAUCCAUGGGCAGGUUGAAGCGCGGGUAAGACCGCGUGGAGGACCGAACCCACUUAGGUUGAAAACUGAGGGGAUGACCUGUGGAUAGGGGUGAAAGGC